Molecule: RNA transcript, 4135 nt
Organism: Aedes aegypti (yellow fever mosquito)
Lineage: Eukaryota; Metazoa; Arthropoda; Insecta; Diptera; Culicidae
Gene name: CD109 antigen
Exons: 10
Source: RefSeq, a predicted model, not a curated record
ACUGAUCUGCACUCAACCAGUCUGUGGGGAUCCGCGGAGCAAGCAUGGUUAAGUACGGUGAAUGUACAUUUUUGUGCGCGCUAUUAUCAGUUGUAUACACACAAUCCCAGACAACUGGAAAUUACGUUAUUUUGGCGCCAAAAUAUCUACGAGCCAAACAUCCUUACCAGCUGUCUAUUGCUACACAUGACUUCAAUGGAUUUACCAAACUGCACCUGGCCAUCGAUGGUUACACGGAAAACGACGAGGUCGCCAACGUUAUUAAAGAAGUGCAUCUGAAAAGAAGUCAAACUCAAUUGGUCGAAAUUGAUACAACAACUUUGCCUCCAGGUUCAUUCUCGUUGAAUAUUCUAUCAGGAUCGGGCGGCGAAGUGAACCUCACAAUCCCUCUCACAGUACUUGACAAAGCAUACACCGUACUAAUUCAAACGAAUAAACCUAUCUACAAACCUGGCAAUGUAAUAAAGUUUCGUGUCCUGCUUCUAGAUGAAGCAACGAAGCCAGUGCACAAACCUAAAGCUAUUCACGUUACGCUGGCAGACCCCGAUGGAAACGAAAUCAAGGUGUGGCCGUAUGCAAUGCUUCAAAAUGGAGUUUUUCAAUCUCAGUUGGAAAUUUCCAACGAGCCCAAUCUUGGCAACUGGUCGAUCACAGCCAAUGCCUAUGGGAAAGAUCACACCUUUUCGUUUCUAGUCGAUGACUACAAGUUACCAAAGUAUGAACUCAAGGUAAGUACGCCACAACCGGCAACUGUAUCGGACAGAGAGUUCAGCGUGGAUGUCGAAGCGAGGUACAUUUUUGGCAGACCUGUGAAAGGAAACGCCACCAUUACAGUCAACGGACCAAAAAAGCAAUCAAAAACUGCAAAGAUAAACGGAAAAAUUAGAUUAUCUUUUAGCAUGAUAGAUUUACUACACCAAACGUCGAUAGUGGAUGAAAUUAUUCCUGUAGAAGUGAUUGUUGUAAUUCACGAUCAAUACACAAGAGAGAACAUCAAAGCAACAAAUAUGUUUCGCAUCUUCAACCAAUCGUACCGACUGUCUCUCAAAAAGUCCUCGAAGUAUUUCAUUCCUGGACACCCGUAUCGUUGCAUUGUAGAGAUCAAAGAUCAAAAUGGAAGACGUCUAACGUCCAUUGAAAAUCAUCAAGCCCUUGUGAAUGUAGUCUACUCCGGACCAAAUGGCUAUCACAACACUAGCGAAAUGCGCUUGAACCCAGAGUCAGAUGGAACUGUACCAUUGACUUUGGAAGUUCCUGAACAAGUCACACAUAUUGAACUUAACAUUUCUUACCGCGAUACAAAUGAGCAUUUUGAACUGCAGAGAAUCCAUUUCAGUACCACCGGACAGAUUCAGGCAUCAAUAAUUACAGAGCAAUUAACCCUCAACACACCAAUCAUGGUUCAGGUGCAGUCAUCCAUCGCUUUGAAUCAUCUGACGUAUCAAAUUAUUGCAAAGGGGAAAAUCCAAACCGUUCAGCAAAUGCGGUUCGAUGACACUGAUAGCGUUCAGUUCAAUAUCACUGCGACGCCGGAAAUGAUUCCCAACGCAAAGGUAUUUGUGUUCAGCAUGCACAAUGGUCUGAUAUUGAAGGACACCGUACCUCUGAUGAUAAGCAGUUUGCCAAACUGGGUGAAUGUAACGUUACCUAACGAAAAGGUUCAACCUGGCAGUAGGAUUCAGCUGGAAGUCGAAUCUACACCAAACUCGCUCGUUGGAUUGUUGGCAGUGGAUAGGGGAGCUUGGCUUUUAGGCGAUGGAAAUCAGAUCACGAAACAGAGCGUGCUGGAUGAGAUUGGCACUUUCUCAGAUGAAAUCGAAGGUGAUAAUGAUGAUAUAUCAGAAAUGGAGUUGAUUACCAAUGGAAUUAUUCCAACAGCACUGACGGCACGAUUCGGAAAUUUUGUGCCAGAUGAAGAGGAUGCCUAUAUACCACCUCGGAAGGAAUUCCCAGAAUCAUGGCUGUGGUUGGAUUUGCAGAAAACAGGUAUGGAUGGUAAACUCCAUAUCGCCGAUAUCGUACCAGAUUCCAUCACCAAUUGGGAAAUUACAGCAUUUUCCAUUAGUCCAGAACAUGGCCUUGGCGUACAGGAUGAACCCGUUGCACUCGCCGUUUCAAAACCGUUCUUCAUCACGAUCAACGUACCAAAUUCUAUCAAAAAGAGCGAAGUUGCCAUCGUUAAAGUGGCUAUAUUCAGCGUACUAAACGAUACCUCAUAUGUGGGAGUCACACUGAAAAACAGUCGACAAGAAUUCGAGUUCGUGGAUAAUCGAGGACGAAAAGAUGUCAGCUACCAGGCCAAAAAUGUUAUAGUCACAGCAAACUCAGCUACCACCGUAUUGUUCAAGAUCAAACCGAAGAAAAUGGGAAACAUUGUGAUCAAAGUAAUUGCAGAAACCACGGAGGCGUCUGAUUCUACAGAGCAAUUGCUGCGUGUAACUCCUGAAAGUUUGCCUUACUCAAUAACGGAGAAACGCCUCAUACAGCUACAAAACAAUAGACAAUCUUUCGAGCUGGAGUUGAAAAUUCCAAGGCAUAUUGAUGUGAACUCGGAAGAGAUUCACUUUUCGGUACAAGGGAAUCUACUAGGAGAUUCAGUUGACGGAUUGGACGAAAUGAUACGGAUGCCUACAGGGAGUGGCGAGCAAAAUGUACUCAAAAUGGUUCCAAAUUUAGUGUUGUUGGAUUACAUGGUUGGCGUAGGAAAAGUGAAUGUACCUUUGAGAAACCGCGCGAUAAAAUUUUUAGGCAUGGGCUAUCAAAACCAACUCAAGUUUAAACGCAACGAUGGAUCAUUUAGUAUGUUUGGACAGCAAGACAAUGCUGGGAGUGUAUUUCUAACUGCUUUGGUGGCGAAGACUUUGCAUCAAGCUUCUCAGUUUAUUACAGUGGAUGAAAAGGUCAUUGAAAACGCAUAUGAUUGGCUACGGCAGCAGCAAAAGAUGGAUGGGAGUUUUACCGAACUUGGAAAUAUACCAGAAUAUGGAUUACAGCGGAAGCAUACGGAGAAAUCUGUCCUGACAGCUUAUACCUUGGUAGCUUUUCUAGAAAACGAUCGAAUUUCUGAGAAACAUAAAUCUAUAAUCGACAAAGGAACGCAAUACCUUGUCUCUAAAAUACAAGGCUUGGAAUCCAGCUAUGCUCUUGCAUUAACUGCUUAUGCACUACAACUUGCUCAAUACAAACAGGAAUAUGCGUUUUCAAAGCUGUUAGAAAAUUCGCAAAGUAACAAUGGAUUUCGCUGGUGGAAUGACGAUAACACUGCCGAAGCUACAGCGUAUGCAUUGCUGUGUUAUAUCCAACGGGGCGAUUUCGUAGAUCCCUUACCAAUUUUGAGGUGGCUGAUCAGUAAGCGACAUUUGUUUGGACCCGACAACAUCGAAACCACGUUCAUUGGACUUCAAGCCAUUGCAGAACAUAGCAAGAGAAUUUCCCCCAAUAGAAACAAUUACGAAGUAUCCAUAUCUCGAGAGUCGAACCAAUUAGUCACGCUCAACAUCAAUCCAGAAACCUCCUUAACGGUACAAAACGUAUCUCUUCCAUCGAACGUUAGAAAGGUUAGAGUUAUGGUGAACGGAACUGGCACGGGAACGUUCAGCAUCCAUUAUCGAUACAAGACAAACAUUUUGAACCUUCGGCCGCGCUUCGAUGUUAAAGUGCAAACUCUGGACACAACCACGAGUCACUAUCUCGAUCUCAAAAUCUGCGCCAAAUUCAAGCCCAGUGAAGCAUAUGAGAUAUCUAAGCUAGCACUGAUGGAAAUCACCUUUCCCAGCGGAUAUAUCGCCCUUGACGAAUCGGUAGAAGAACUUGAAAAAAUGGACACAAUUAGGUUUUUAAAUUCAAUUACAGAAAAUCACAACGAAGUACGACGAUGCAUCCCUAUGGUUAUAUUUUGAGUCACUUCCAGAACACUUCCUAUGUAUACCAGUGACCAGUUUUCGACAGAGCGAUGUGCUACAACAAAUCCCCGGCAGCGUGAGGGUUUACGAUUUUUUCGAUGAUUCUCGAGUGGCGAUAACACAUUUUGAUGGCAAGCAGCUUGACAAAUGUGAGAUCUGUGACAACGAUUGUCUUCCUGAAUGUGGAAAUUGAACAUUUGGUUAUGAAAUGGUAAAUAAACUUGAAAUGCAAA